RNAcentral lists this unclassified non-coding RNA (326 nucleotides) under Hevea brasiliensis (rubber tree). Lineage: Eukaryota; Viridiplantae; Streptophyta; Magnoliopsida; Malpighiales; Euphorbiaceae. The record is from RNAcentral.
GUCCACCAUUGGAAUUGUCAUUAUUGGGAACUUCAGGAAUAAUACUUAAUAAUGAUGCUAGCGGCCUUAAUCCACAUAUCAUACUAACUUUGCUCAAAGGUGAUGUGCCAAAUGGAUCCACAGAUGCAUCAAGGUCUGAUUCAACUGCCAGUCAUGCAAGUUUUGACAGCAAAAAGGAUGAUAACUCAGCAACAUCAGAUCAGAUGCCAUCAACUACCACCAAAGUUCAAGUGCCAAUGCCUUGGUCAAAUCAGAUACCUCAAUAUAUGUAUAAUUUCCAGAACCCUCAACAACUUCCUCCAUACCAAGGAUAUCCAUUCCCGAUG